Anopheles gambiae str. PEST is the source of this 112-nucleotide ribosomal RNA. It matches the Rfam family "Eukaryotic small subunit ribosomal RNA", at positions 1502 to 1604 of the family's 1831-position model. NCBI's taxonomy places the organism in Eukaryota, Metazoa, Arthropoda, Insecta, Diptera, Culicidae. The record is from Rfam.
AAUGUGAGCAGCAGCGUGUUCUCGCCUUAUGGCGCCCCCAUUCCGAGAGGGACGGGAAAUCACCCAAAUGCUCAUUUAGUAGGGAUUGGGGAAUGCAAUGGUCCCCAUGAAC